UAGUCAUAUGCUUGUCUCAAAGAUUAAGCCAUGCAUGUCUAAGUAUAAGCAAUUAUACAGCGAAACUGCGAAUGGCUCAUUAUAUAAGUUAUCGUUUAUUUGAUAGUGCCUUACUACUUGGAUAACCGUGGUAAUUCUAGAGCUAAUACAUGCUGAAAAUCCCGACUUCGGAAGGGAUGUAUUUAUUAGAUUAAAAACCAAUGCCCCCUGGGCUCUCUGGUGAUUCAUGAUAACUGCUCGAAUCGCAUGGCCUUGCGCCGGCGAUGGCUCAUUCAAAUUUCUUCCCUAUCAACUUUCGAUGUUUGGGUAGUGGCCAAACAUGGUUGCAACGGGUAACGGAGGGUUAGGGCUCGACCCCGGAGAAGGAGCCUGAGAAACGGCUACUACAUCCAAGGAAGGCAGCAGGCGCGCAAAUUACCCAAUCCCGACUCGGGGAGGUAGUGACAAUAAAUACUGAUACAGGGCUCUUUUGGGUCUUGUAAUUGGAAUGAGUACAAUUUAAAUCCCUUAACGAGGAACAAUU
Molecule: ribosomal RNA, 523 nt
Filed under: uncultured eukaryote
Lineage: Eukaryota
Description: SSU rRNA
Rfam family: Eukaryotic small subunit ribosomal RNA
Source: RNAcentral